AGUGAACGCUGGCGGUAGGCCUAACACAUGCAAGUCGAACGGCAGCACAGUAAGAGCUUGCUCUUACGGGUGGCGAGUGGCGGACGGGUGAGGAAUACAUCGGAAUCUACUUUUUCGUGGGGGAUAACGUAGGGAAACUUACGCUAAUACCGCAUACGACCUACGGGUGAAAGCAGGGGAUCUUCGGACCUUGCGCGAUUGAAUGAGCCGAUGUCGGAUUAGCUAGUUGGCGGGGUAAAGGCCCACCAAGGCGACGAUCCGUAGCUGGUCUGAGAGGAUGAUCAGCAACACUGGAACUGAGACACGGUCCAGACUCCUACGGGAGGCAGCAGUGGGGAAUAUUGGACAAUGGGCGCAAGCCUGAUCCAGCCAUACCGCGUGGGUGAAGAAGGCCUUCGGGUUGUAAAGCCCUUUUGUUGGGAAAGAAAAGCAGCAGGUUAAUACCCCGCUGUUCUGACGGUACCAAAAGAAUAAGCACCGGCUAACUUCGUG
This 492-nucleotide ribosomal RNA is filed under the name uncultured bacterium. RNAcentral's name for it is "partial 16S ribosomal RNA". It matches the Rfam family "Bacterial small subunit ribosomal RNA", at positions 29 to 507 of the family's 1533-position model. The record is from RNAcentral.